RNAcentral lists this small nuclear RNA (164 nucleotides) under Helobdella robusta. RNAcentral describes it as "U1 spliceosomal RNA". It matches the Rfam family "U1 spliceosomal RNA". From Rfam's summary of the family: U1 is a small nuclear RNA (snRNA) component of the spliceosome (involved in pre-mRNA splicing). Its 5' end forms complementary base pairs with the 5' splice junction, thus defining the 5' donor site of an intron. Lineage: Eukaryota; Metazoa; Annelida; Clitellata; Rhynchobdellida; Glossiphoniidae. The record is from Rfam by way of RNAcentral.
AUACUAACCUGGCACAGAAGAUACCGCGAUCAAGAAGGCGGUUCUUCCAGGACGAGAUCUAACCAUUGUACUGAGGUUGGAUUGAACACUGCGAUUACCCAAAAUGAGGGUAACUCGGGUGCAUAAUUUAUGUGUGUGUGGAAAUGCGUUCGCGCUUUUCCUCC